ACUGUCAGGACUAAAGUGUUGACCGGAGAGCUCGGAAGGCCUGUGUGUGGCUGCGGGGAGAGGCUUUCCUCCUGCCCGCUCUCGCUCCAUCUUGAUAUAUCACUGGAGUCAAGUCAUCCGUUUCCCUGAGACUGCCCAGUUGUUCACAGCAGAGUACAAAAGCUGCAAGAUGCUCAAAAUUUUUGGCAUUUGGACAGCUUCCUUAGCUAGCAAGGACAUAAAGUACCCAUAAGGCUUGUCACUGGAAUAUCACAGAAUCGCAGAAUGGUUGAAGUUGGAAGGGACCCCUGAAGAUCAUCUAGUCCAACCCACCUGCUCAAGCAGGGUCACCUGGUGCAUGUUGCCCAGUAGAAGAGACUUGUUACGGACAUUUGCAGUUUGGUCAGAAAGUCUGUUCAUUCCAUGAGCAAGCUCCUUUCAUGAAAAACAGUUUGUCUUCAACUCAUAUAUGCUUAAAUCUGGAUUUAUUAGCCAUAUCAUAAUAGAGUGAAAUGUGAGGUGAAAAUUGGUCUUUUUUUGUUGUUGGUUCAGUGUAUCAGUCCCAUUUUUUUGUUGCCUGCCAUCUUGAGCAAAGUAUAUAAUAUUUGUUAAGAAUUGGUUAAACAAAUAAUUGGAAACAAAAAGAAGGAGUAAGUAGUCAGUUUAUGAAGAGAGGUUACCAGCAGAGUUCCCUUAGAUUCUGUGCUCCAUGCUAUUUGGAAU
RNAcentral lists this long non-coding RNA (702 nucleotides) under Apteryx rowi (Okarito brown kiwi). RNAcentral's name for it is "lncRNA (ENSARWG00000000955.1)". The record is from RNAcentral. Lineage: Eukaryota; Metazoa; Chordata; Aves; Apterygiformes; Apterygidae.